AUCAUCACCAUCACAUUGGAGAUCAAGCGGAGCAAAGCGGAGCCUAUGAUUUUAUCAUGAGGGGCAAAUUUUUGUUCAGCAUCUGCCGUUUUUAGUACCCUGGAUGAUACGAAAUCUUCCUGAGUUCUGCCUCAAGUCACAGAAUAUCGUUACAAGACUCAUGACUGACCCACCUUGGAGCAAUUGAUAGGUAGUCCCUGUGCUGAACAGAGGGAGCAUCCACCUCCGGCCCCGCCUCCAGCUAGUUCAUCAAGGAGUGACAAGCCAUUUUGACCUGGUUCUGGCCGAAUCGAACGAACCCACCAGCAACCUUCGCACCAAAUGAUCUAUAGGCGCUACGCUCGAUGAGAACAAGAUGCGGCGAGCUCAAUGCUGCUAGCCCACUAGCCGCAGCCUAUCGUUGGCGUGUGGAUCCAGAACUGAGAACCACGGCCCCUCAUUCCUACCUUUUCCUUUGCUUCUAUGCCCCUUUUUCAUGAAAAUCAUAGAAGAAAGCAUAGGGGAGAGUGGUGUGGAGACAUGAAAAAAGGGAGAAAGAGUCAAUGAAAACAAUUACAACUGGUUCUGAAAAGGACCUACUUUUGAUAUUACUGCAAGACGAAAACGGGGACAACGAAAUUUUUUGGCUCAGGCCGCAUUCGGCGAUGAGAUUAGACUUGGACGAGGCCGCCGCACCAUUUUUUCCCCCUUUCUUCUGACUCUUCAGGUUUCUCGCCCGUUAACAAGCCUGAGCCCUAACAGCAAACACGACACCCCCUACACGGAUGGGGCCACAAAACACAUGCAUAUGCAGGAGUGUAUUGAUUUUCGAAAUGCGACUGCUACCCAACGUUUGACGACAUCUUUGUGGAAGACCUCUUGGAAGUGACAGCGACACCCAUGAAUGUGUCGCUUAAGCGCUUUCAAUUCUUGAUCACCCUGUUCCAGUCACCCAACAUGAUCGGCUGGAUAUGAGGACGAAAAGGAUACAUUCUCAAAGUGCCAAUAGGAAGAUGUUCUGCAAUUGAACACGUCGCUCGAAAAGCCCCACAAUUGAUAAAAUACCCCGCUGUACAUCAUUUACGGGCAGCUGCCCAACGUUUGGGUACAAGGACAACUGACGCCAACUGUUAACCCCCCAAACCAAUGAUUGAGAUGCAAUUAUUAUAUUCCACAUUACAACGACGUUGUUUUAAGAGAUAAUACGGCGAUAACUUCCCACACUAAAAUAAUACGCUGCGUAAGCGCAAUCUUACAGUUAGGACAUGAUGUCAUUGCUUCUCAUUCGGGGGUCACGUGCACAAAAAAGGAUCAAUCCUUAAGACGGGGCCAACCCAUCUUAACAUGUUUAACAAAAGGUUUUUAGAAGGUUUACCCAUUUGCCACGGACCGACGUUCUCCUGCCCCUGAACUCCCCUAGCUUAGCCGUCUGGGGUAGGGUGCGUAACCCUACGGGUGCUUAGCGACAAAAAGGUCGUGUAUCCUUUUGUAUCAGCUUUUUUGAUGUCGAAUUCGGUGCUAGCUCACGUUAUUUUAUUUUAGAUCGAGGACACGCUUGUGCCACAUUUACAUAAAAAAUUCUUUGUCGGCGAGAUAUCUGUCGGAGUCAUACCCUUCCCUGUUUGUGCGGUAGAAAUUAA
RNAcentral lists this small RNA (1619 nucleotides) under Histoplasma capsulatum. Its description in RNAcentral is "hypothetical RNA". The record is from RNAcentral. Lineage: Eukaryota; Fungi; Ascomycota; Eurotiomycetes; Onygenales; Ajellomycetaceae. RNAcentral also lists the same sequence under 1 other name.